RNAcentral lists this ribosomal RNA (479 nucleotides) under uncultured Lachnospiraceae bacterium. Its description in RNAcentral is "partial 16S ribosomal RNA". The record is from RNAcentral. Lineage: Bacteria; Bacillati; Bacillota; Clostridia; Lachnospirales; Lachnospiraceae.
CACGUAUUUAGCCGGGGCUUCUUAGUCAGGUACCGUCAUUUUCUUCCCUGCUGAUAGAGCUUUACAUACCGAAAUACUUCUUCGCUCACGCGGCGUCGCUGCAUCAGGGUUUCCCCCAUUGUGCAAUAUUCCCCACUGCUGCCUCCCGUAGGAGUUUGGGCCCGUGUCUCAGUCCCAAUGUGGCCGUCCACCCUCUCAGGCCGGCUACUGAUCGUCGCCUUGGUGGGCCGUUACCCCGCCAACCAGCUAAUCAGACGCGGGCCCAUCCCACACCACCUCGGUUUUCCACACUGCUUCAUGCGAAGCUGUGCGCCUAUGCGGUAUUAGCAGUCGUUUCCAACUGUUGUCCCCCUGUGUGGGGUAGGUUGCCCACGCGUUACUCACCCGUCCGCCACUCAGUCAUAUAAAAUUCCUCUACCGAAAAAAUUCCUUUUAUAUGCUUCGUUCGACUUGCAUGUGUUAAGCACGCCGCCAGCUUC